Long non-coding RNA from Suricata suricatta (meerkat), 294 nucleotides. RefSeq lists it as uncharacterized. Lineage: Eukaryota; Metazoa; Chordata; Mammalia; Carnivora; Herpestidae. The transcript is spliced from 2 exons. The record is from RefSeq and is a predicted model, not a curated record.
ACUCCACGAGGCCUGGACUUGUCUACUGUCUUCACCAUUGCCUUCUUAGCGCCUAGGACAGAGUGCUUGCUGGAUGAACAAAAACACCGAGGCAGCGCAGGAGGAGGGACCGCUGGGGGAGACCCUGAGGAGUGAAAGGUCAUGGCAUGCUCUGCAAUGGCAGCUCAAAGCAGAGGGGACGUUUGAGCCACAAGAUCCAAGAGCCCGGGACACAGAAGUCCUUGCAUGGGAAGGGCUGGCUGUCACACAGGAGUGUUAUGUGAGUGAGAAAUAAAGGUUGAGAUCAUUACACCA